AACGCACAUUGCGCCCAUUGGUAUUCCGAUGGGCAUGCCUGUUCGAGCGUCAUUAUCCUCCCUCAAACCCCGGGUUUGGUGUUGGACCCAAGUUGGCCGCCCCCGGGUGGCCAACUGGUCUCAAAGACAAUGACGGCGUCCGUGGGACCCUCGGUGCAACGAGCUUUCAUUAGCACGCGUCGAGUUUCAAGGUCCCUCCGGGCCGGUCUACCCCUUUUAAUUUUACAAGGUUGACCUCGGAUCAGGUAGGAAUACCCGCUGAACUUAA
Molecule: unclassified non-coding RNA, 268 nt
Filed under: uncultured fungus
Lineage: Eukaryota; Fungi
Description: partial contains 5.8S ribosomal RNA, internal transcribed spacer 2, and large subunit ribosomal RNA
Rfam family: 5.8S ribosomal RNA (bases 1-52)
Source: RNAcentral